Molecule: ribosomal RNA, 834 nt
Filed under: uncultured bacterium
Lineage: Bacteria
Description: bacterial SSU rRNA
Rfam family: Bacterial small subunit ribosomal RNA
Source: RNAcentral
GGGUUUAAAGGGUCCGUAGGCGGAUCGGUAAGUCAGUGGUGAAAUCUCAUAGCUCAACUAUGAAACUGCCGUGAUACUGCCGGUCUUGAGUAAAUUUGAAGUGGCUGGAAUAAGUAGUGUAGCGGUGAAAUGCAUAGAUAUUACUUAGAACACCAAUUGCGAAGGCAGGUCACUAAGAUUUAACUGACGCUGAGGGACGAAAGCGUGGGGAGCGAACAGGAUUAGAUACCCUGGUAGUCCACGCCGUAAACGAUGCUAACUCGUUUUUGGGGCGCAAGCCUCAGAGACCAAGCGAAAAUGAUAAGUUAGCCACCUGGGGAGUACGUUCGCAAGAAUGAAACUCAAAGGAAUUGACGGGGGCCCGCACAAGCGGUGGAGCAUGUGGUUUAAUUCGAUGAUACGCGAGGAACCUUACCAAGACUUAAAUGGGAACUGAUCGGUUUAGAAAUAGACCUUCCUUCGGGCAGUUUUCAAGGUGCUGCAUGGUUGUCGUCAGCUCGUGCCGUGAGGUGUUAGGUUAAGUCCUGCAACGAGCGCAACCCCUGUCACUAGUUGCUAACAUUAAGUUGAGGACUCUAGUGAGACUGCCUACGCAAGUAGAGAGGAAGGUGGGGAUGACGUCAAAUCAUCACGGCCCUUACGUCUUGGGCCACACACGUGCUACAAUGGUAGGUACAGAGGGCAGCUACCUGGUGACAGGAUGCAAAUCUCGAAAGCCUAUCUCAGUUCGGAUUGGAGUCUGCAACUCGACUCUAUGAAGCUGGAAUCGCUAGUAAUCGCGCAUCAGCCAUGGCGCGGUGAAUACGUUCCCGGGCCUUGCACACACCGCCCGUC